AGAGUUUGAUCAUGGCUCAGGACGAACGCUGGCGGCGUGCCUAAUACAUGCAAGUCGAGCGAAUUCAUUCCUUCGGGAAUGAGUUAGCGGCGGACGGGUGAGUAACACGUAGGUAACCUGCCUGUAAGACUGGGAUAACUAUCGGAAACGAUAGCUAAGACCGGAUAAUUGAUCUUACCGCAUGGAGAGAUCAUGAAACGCGGAGCAAUCUGUGGCUUACGGAUGGGCCUGCGGCGCAUUAGCUAGUAGGUGAGGUAAUGGCUCACCUAGGCGACGAUGCGUAGCCGACCUGAGAGGGUGAACGGCCACACUGGGACUGAGACACGGCCCAGACUCCUACGGGAGGCAGCAGUAGGGAAUCCUCCGCAAUGGACGCAAGUCUGACGGAGCAACGCCGCGUGAGUGAUGAAGGUUUUCGGAUCGUAAAGCUCUGUUGCCCUAGACGAAAAGUGAGGGGAGUAACUGCCCUUCAUGUGACGGUAUAGGAGAAGAAAGCCCCGGCUAACUACGUGCCUGCAGCCGCGGUAAUACGUAGGGGGCAAGCGUUGUCCGGAAUUAUUGGGCGUAAAGCGCGCGCAGGCGGUUCAUUAAGUUGGGUGUUUAAUCCCGGGGCUCAACCCCGGUUCGCAUCCGAAACUGGUGAACUUGAGUGUAGGAGAGGAAAGUGGAAUUCCACGUGUAGCGGUGAAAUGCGUAGAGAUGUGGAGGAACACCAGUGGCGAAGGCGACUUUCUGGCCUAUAACUGACGCUGAGGCGCGAAAGCGUGGGGAGCAAACAGGAUUAGAUACCCUAGUAGUCC
This 800-nucleotide ribosomal RNA is filed under the name uncultured bacterium. Its description in RNAcentral is "bacterial SSU rRNA". It matches the Rfam family "Bacterial small subunit ribosomal RNA", at positions 8 to 796 of the family's 1533-position model. The record is from RNAcentral.